UAAACAUAUUUUUGGGGAAAUGUUUUGUGCUUUCUUCAAAAUAAAUGGCACUUGUUUUAACAUGUUGUUUUCAAACGCGGUGAAAUUCAUCCAUUUGUUCAUCUGACUAACUUCAUUUUCCAAAUACUGAUUAGUGUUCAUGUAGAACUGAGGAAACCAGCCCUAUACAAGCACAGCACUUCUUCUCUUUACAGGUUUUAGAUACAGAGACAGCAGAACAGCAUGGCCACUGCGAAUGAAAAAGACACAGUGUGGAUCGGGUUCAUGGAUAUCGUUCCGGUCAUCGGGAAGGUUAAAGAGGCAGUGGAGCUGGUGCUGGCUCUGUACGAAGGGAAUAAAGCGGUGAUAAAGGAGAAAGAGAAGGCCGUUGAAAACAUUGUGAAAUUUUGAUUUUAAGGAUGUAAUCAUCUCUUAUGAGGCUCAGAGUUCCCGAAGUGAAUUAUUUUCAUACAGCAGCAUGGUCUAUCAUGUGUUAUUCUUUGCAUACAAUAUGGUAUAAUUAUUGCAUGUCACAGUGCACCAUCAUGCCAGUCUAUGUCCAGUCUAUGUCCAGUCCAUUUAAUUUUUUUAUCUUUCCAUAACUAGAAGAUGACUAAAUCAGCAGCAUUUCCAGCUGAUAAAUCAGCAGCAUUUCCAGCUGAUAAAACAGCAGCAGCUGCAGCUGAAUUUUCUGGACUCGGAAAUGUGAGAGAGGUCAGAAUGGAAAUGGUUAUUGUACAUCUGGCCCAAGCUUUCACAAGGAGAAGGUCACAAAGAGGCGAACAUGUCUUCAACAAUAACAUUCUUAAAUUUCAUUGCAAAGUGCUAGAUGAUUUUAUACAAGAACAAAAUAUUGAUAAUCUACAAAGAUAUAAUCCGCAGGAAAUGGAUACAUUACGCAGACAGACACUUACCCAAAAUGCAGAAGAAGAAAUUCAGACAAACAUGGUGGUUCACUUUGGUGAGGAUGAAUUCUAUGUGAAUGCAAAUGCAGUGAUAUAUGGUGUAUAUUGCAGAGCACUGCGUGGUGCUUUGUUAAAUGUGCUGCGCCACAUAAACCCAGGUGAGGUGGCAGAAGAGAAGAGACAUUGGGUGAAUUUUGUCAUAAAUACUAUGAAUAACUAUGAAAUCUAUGUGGACCAAAUGGCAAAGGUCCGUUGGAUUGCCAAUAUAGAGACUAGACGGGCCCGGUUUGAACGGGUAAAACAGGAAGUUGUGACCAUGUAUAACACAGAUCGUGGGUAUGACUGGUGCAUUAGCAUUCUGCAUGAAGUUGCAGGUUUGUUUGAACAUAGACAGUGAGUUCAUUUCUCCUGUUCAGGGUUGCCAGGUUUCCUUUCAAAAUUUCCAUCUUAACUACAUCCUAAAUCCCACAGACCUGAAACUAGCUGAAAGUUUGGACACUGGAAGAAACAAAGUUCACUGUGGUGCACACAUAUUUGUAUGUUUGCAAUGUUUCCAACACACUUAGGGUCAGAGUUUUGUCACCCAUAGCCUGUUACAACUGUUAUUUUUUAUUUUAUUUAUUUCAUUUAUUUGUACAGGGACAACGUACAACAACAGUGUCAUGCCAGAGUUAGCUAUAAAGCUAAUUUGUAUCUGCAAUCCCUGGGCAGGAUGUUCUUACAAAAUUACAAUAUUAAGUGACAAACAAUACAAUAAAUAUUACACAUACAACAUCACAUCAUACUACAUUAAAUUACAAAUCCAAGUCAAUGAUCACAUAUCUGAUUUUCCUUAAGCCAUACUUUAAGCAUAGUUGUAAAAAUACUAAGUGUUGCACACUCUCUAAUAUAAACAGGUCUUAAAUUCCAUCUUUCUGCUGCUCUAACCGAAAAAGCUGAUUGUCCAAAAAUAGUUUCUUAAAUUUAGUUGAACAGUCACCUCUAACUGAUGACCUAGUCUGCCUGAUAUUGUCCUUUCAGAAAGUCACACAUUGUUUAAGAGGUGGUGGUGCAAGAUUAUGAAAUACUUUGUACAUUAAACAGACAUCAGCAAAUAAAAAAAAAAUGUUAAAACGUCAAUCAUUUAUAAUAUAGUGAUGAUAACUUCUUGGCUUUUUAGCUAAGAUUUUCACAGCUUGUUUAUAAAUAGUAUAUAAUGGUUUUAACGUAGUUAAAAUGCAUCCACAUCUGUGUGUUUGUGGUCUGCGAGGAAAAUCGGUUGUUUCAAUAAAUUCAAUUGUAAUAGCCUUCUCUAUUAAAUCUGAACCAGUACAGAACCGGAGGAAAAGUUGAAGGGUGUUCAGAUCAAUUUCAGCAAUGUACCUUUUCAGAUAGUGUGCAACUGUUGUCUGGGGUGCUGUCAUAUCAUUUGGGAAGUGUAACAGCUCCUUCACUGCUUUUGCAGUUGUUUUUUUCUGUUUAACUGUACAAUUCAAACCAUCUAGUGGUAGCAUACUAGCUACAUGCACCAUAAUGGGACGCCAGCACUCAAUCACAUACAUUGGGGCCUGUAUUAUGGCUUUGUGCCCCAUUUGUGCUAGCAGAGGAACCAAACAGUCCUUGGUAGGCACCUGUUUGCACUCAUGUGCAUCAAGAACAUCAAACAGUUCAUCAGAGUCAACAGAGUCAAAGUCUUUCAAAACACUCAUAAUAACAGCUCUUUCUUGUUCAGACAUGUACAGCAAAAGGGAAUCUUUUAAGCUAAUGGUUGUUGUGCCAUAAAGUACUUCUUCCAGGAAUGGUGUUGCCAGUUUCACUGGUAAGUAUUUAUCUUGCUUCCAUCCUAAAACAAACCCUCUAGCUACUGCUUGCCACUCCUCACAUUGAUAAUCAUGUCUGAUGAAAGGCACUUUCACAUCCACCCCCAGAAUGCAGUGGUCAUAAAAAUCAGACCAAAAUUCUGUAAGGCUAUCUCGAAAUACACCAAUUCCUUCCCCCAUUUCAAGUUCUCCAUUUGGUAAAUGCAUCUUGAUGUUAACCUCUGUACUAAUAACUUCUGGAUUCUUAAAAGCACAGAUUAGGUCAGCGAGACAGUGCCCUCUCCUAACAAUCAGUAUUACAACAGCAGGUUGUGGUUCAUGACUUCUUUGAGGUAGAACAUCAGUGGCCCCCAAAGUGAUUUCAGCAGGCAAUGUUUCAUCCAUAAAUGGAGAAGGCAGGUCAUCUUCUCUAGCUGCAUUUUGGGUUUCAGGAUGUGGUUCAUUCAGAUGUGGAUCUUCAAUAACACCCUCACUCAGAAAAAUCACUGUUUCAGGGUCAAGAAUUUCUUCAGUUAUUUGUUGUGGGGAAUCAUCCCAUGUGUCAUUAAUUUCCCUGUCUUCACUAAUGGAAGCUCUAGUUGAGUGAGGGUCAGUAACCAAGUCAGAUUCCCUGGUUCCUUGAUUUUCACCAGUGAGAUCUAUAACGUUACUGAUGUCUUCUAAAGACUGCCUAUCUGAUUUUAUUUUGGCACACAGAUAGAGUUUUAGCAUUCGGACUUUGCUUUCACUAUACAGUUGAUCUACAGUUUUGGAUAUUUCAGUGUGCAUCUGAAAGCACUCAAUAUCAGUUGUAUAGAGUGACAUUUUUUUUUUUUUUUUUCCUUUGAAUAACCAUAUGGGAAAUUUUUUUUUUAAAAAUUCGGCCUCAGGUUUCAAAUCGUUCACUGUUUUGUUUAUGUCAGCACAGAGAUGUCUUGUUCCUCCACCAUUUAUUUAUCUCACUUGUUUGAACCGCUGCUCUUUCUCAUCAAAAUCCAUCCUUUCUAGCUCAAUGCAUCAUUCUUUCUUUCUUUUCGGCACUUAUGUUUUCUACCCAUGAAAAACUUUCCUUUGCAGGUACACUCUCAUUCCUAGAAGACAGUCUAUGUCGUAGUCUCAACAGUAUGGAUUCUUUCCUGGACUGUGCCUGAUGUGGUGCACUGGCUUGUCUACAGAAGGCCACAGUAGAGAUUCUGUCUCCAGCUUUGGGGAUGUACUUUGCCCGGUCACUGUCUGUCAUCAUAGGGAUGACAUUUUCAUCAAUCUAAAAAUAUUAUAUAUAUGUAUACACAUUAGUUACAAAACCAAAUGAUGUUCCUUAGUGUGGCCAGAUGGCAGAGGGAAGGUAUGACUUAAGUGAACUUAAAUGAAUUAAGGACCCAAAGGGUUAACAAUGCCUGACUACACCACCCUGGGAAUCUCACCCAAGGAAUUUAUUAAAGAUACUAUACACAGGUCCCCCACUCUGUGGCAAAAUAGACAAUGGAGACAGAGGUACUGGUAUAAAAAUAGAACAAUUUAUUUUGAAUUUAAUGACAACAGAAAUUGAAAACGCAUUCACUGAAAAGAAACUGGGACCACAAUUACACAAAUGGUCCAGGAAAGACAACAAUGAGGAGCUGCAGCCUGGGCUACAUGACCGGCCGUACAGGCCUUUACUCUAAGUACACUGCACACUCACACCAAUCCAAAAGCCCCAGUGCACACGGCAAAUCACAGCACUCCGUGAGGAAACACCAUCACCACCUAAAGAAAGACUUCAGCCCUGCUCUCCACACACACACACUCAAACACAAACAAAAAUAAUUAACACAAGAUUUAGGCAGGCAACACAGCUGACACUUAAUGCCUGCCAAACACACAAUAACAGAGUUAACCAAAUUAAAUCAAAACACAACUGGACCAUAUAAAUGCAAAAAAGCACUCCCACAUCACUCAACGGAUUCACAACCGCAUUAAAAUGGAAUUCAUGAAUGUUCAACCAGGAACAAGACAGCGGUGACGUCACUGCAUGCCCCAGAUAACAGGCACAGGGACCCGGGAGUCAGUAGAAGUGAAGAUAAUACUCCAUAGAUGCAAUGCGAAGUAUAGUUUCGAUUUAAUCACUCAGCCGAUGGAGCUCAGGAUACGCGAGGAAAAUAACUCAGCAUAUACAGUCGUCAUCCGCCCAUACACAGCAUUAUAUUGACUGAAUGUGGUCGCAUAUACAGAUGCGAGACACACGCCGCCACCAACAAUAAGUCAAAGCCACAAUAUCUGCAGCCACGGAGAUGACUACAGUUGCCGCAAUCGUCCUGCAAAGCCAAAAUCACAGCAGCCCUCAGUCCAUGAACCAGAAGCGAAACGGGAUCCCAGGAAGUGACGCUCGUCUAAGUCACACACGCAUGUUGUUUAUAUACACGUAAUCCAACCACCUCUAUCGGCCCCAACCAAUGAAUAAACUAAUGCCUAAUGAUGAACUUACUGAUCUCUACCUGCCACAUUAGCAUAGUUACUAUGUGGCAAAUGCAACCAUUUAUCUUUGUGUAUUAGUAAACUGCUUUGCUAUCAUUCACUGUUCAUAUUAACAUCCUCUUUAACCCUUGAUCACUGUACAAUCAAAUUUGUCCAGAAACACUAUAGCUGUUUUAAAGAAAU
Long non-coding RNA from Cyprinus carpio carpio, 5299 nucleotides. NCBI's taxonomy places the organism in Eukaryota, Metazoa, Chordata, Actinopteri, Cypriniformes, Cyprinidae. The record is from Ensembl.